UUUAGUAGCGAAGUAGCUGAUUUCACACUGUCAAGAAAAGUCUCUAUCGAGGUUAAAGGUACCCGUACCGCAAACCGACACAGGUGGGUGAGGAGAGUAUCCUAAGGCCAGCGAGAGAACUGUUGUUAAGGAACUCGGCAAAAUGACCCCGUAACUUAGGGAUAAGGGGUGCCACCAUCAGGUGGCCGCAGAGAAUAGGCCCAAGCGACUGUUUACCAAAAACAUAGGUUUCUGCUAAGUCGCAAGACGAUGUAUAGGAGCUGACGCCUGCCCGGUGCUGGAAGGUUAAGGGGAUCUGUUAGAGCAAUCGAAGCAGUGAACUUAAGCCCCAGUAAACGGCGGCCGUAACUAUAACGGUCCUAAGGUAGCGAAAUUCCUUGUCGGGUAAGUUCCGACCCGCACGAAAGGCGUAACGAUUUGGGCACUGUCUCAACAACAGACUCGGUGAAAUUGUAAUUCCGGUGAAGAUGCCGGAUACCUGCGACAGGACGGAAAGACCCCAUGGAGCUUUACUGUAGCUUGACAUUGGGUCUUGGUACUACAUGUACAGGAUAGGUGGGAGGCUUUGAAACCAGGACGCCAGUUUUGGCGGAGCCAUCCUUGGGAUACCACCCUUGUAGUACUGGGACUCUAACCAUAGGCCAUGAAUCUGGUCUUGGGACACUGUCAGGUGGGCAGUUUGACUGGGGCGGUCGCCUCCCAAAAGGUAACGGAGGCGCUCAAAGGUUCUCUCAGUACGGUCGGAAAUCGUACGUAGAGUGUAAAGGCAAAAGAGAGCUUGAUUGCAAGACAUACAGGUCGAGCAAGGAUGAAAAUCGGACUUAGUGAUCCGGUGGUUCUGCGUGGAAGGGCCAUCGCUCAACGGAUAAAAGCUACCCUGGGGAUAACAGGCUUAUCUCCCCCAAGAGUCCACAUCGACGGGGAGGUUUGGCACCUCGAUGUCGGCUCAUCACAUCCUGGGGCUGUAGUAGGUCCCAAGGGUUGGGCUGUUCGCCCAUUAAAGUGGUACGCGAGCUGGGUUCAGAACGUCGUGAGACAGUUCGGUCCCUAUCCGUCGCAGGCGUAGGAAAUUUGAGAAGACCUGUCCUUAGUACGAGAGGACCGGGAUGGACG
Molecule: ribosomal RNA, 1113 nt
Filed under: Clostridioides difficile
Lineage: Bacteria; Bacillati; Bacillota; Clostridia; Peptostreptococcales; Peptostreptococcaceae
Description: partial 23S ribosomal RNA
Rfam family: Bacterial large subunit ribosomal RNA
Source: RNAcentral